AUCUGCAGCCAUGCUACCCUGAACAAGCCCGACCCUAUCCGAUCUCGGAAGCUAAGCAGGGUCGGGCCUGGUUAGUACUUGAAUAGGAGACCACCUAGGAACACCAGAUGCUGUAGGCA
RNAcentral lists this ribosomal RNA (119 nucleotides) under Pteropus alecto (black flying fox). Lineage: Eukaryota; Metazoa; Chordata; Mammalia; Chiroptera; Pteropodidae. The record is from RNAcentral.